AAAAUAAAGUCAGCGACGUUGAAAAGGAAAAGACAGCAAAAAAGCCUGGAGGAAAACAUACUCUGCGGUGCAAAAGCCCCUUCGAAUGCCUACCACGAUGAAAGGAACAAAGAAGGAGAGAACAAUUAAUAAAAAGUCACUAAGUGUAACAUUCGACAUUUUGAGUGAUGCACACAGAGUUUAAAAAAGGUAAAAAAGUGUUAAAGUAAGAAAAGAAGCAAAUAAUGAUUCAGUUGGUGGAUUUUUUUAAAACCGACGAGAUAUAUUUGAAAACCCAAAAAAUCAGAAAACAGAACGAUCCAAGAACAACGAAAUCCGUUUACUUAAGAUCCAAAAAGGCUUUAAAGUAGGUUCAGUUAGUAAACGUUGUUAAUUGCUUUUAUAGGUAUGUUGCUGGUAAAAGACAAGUAUGGUGAAUGACGAAAUUCAGCCUCACUGAGUGCCAAGCCAACACAGAUGUAAACAAAAGGCGUAAAGAACGAAGAAAACAUAGUGCACAAGACAAUUGAGAUAAUA
This is a non-coding RNA of Schizosaccharomyces pombe (fission yeast), 516 nucleotides long. NCBI's taxonomy places the organism in Eukaryota, Fungi, Ascomycota, Schizosaccharomycetes, Schizosaccharomycetales, Schizosaccharomycetaceae. The record is from the annotation of a GenBank genome assembly.